GGAUUAGAUACCCUGGUAGUCCACGCUGUAAACGAUGAAGACUAGAUGUUGGGCAGCUUGACUGCUUAGUAUCGAAGCAAACGCGAUAAGUCUUCCGCCUGGGGAGUACGGCCGCAAGGUUAAAACUCAAAGGAAUUGACGGGGGCCCGCACAAGCGGUGGAGCAUGUGGUUUAAUUCGAUGCAACGCGAAGAACCUUACCUACCCUUGACAUCCUAGGAAGAUUGCAGAGAUGCAGUUGUGCCGAAAGGAACCUAGAGACAGGUGCUGCAUGGCUGUCGUCAGCUCGUGCCG
This 293-nucleotide ribosomal RNA is filed under the name uncultured bacterium. RNAcentral describes it as "partial 16S ribosomal RNA". It matches the Rfam family "Bacterial small subunit ribosomal RNA", at positions 775 to 1067 of the family's 1533-position model. The record is from RNAcentral.